This 1350-nucleotide long non-coding RNA is filed under the name Equus caballus (horse). RNAcentral's name for it is "lncRNA (ENSECAG00000057579.1)". The record is from RNAcentral. Lineage: Eukaryota; Metazoa; Chordata; Mammalia; Perissodactyla; Equidae.
GUGAGGCUAUGGAGGACUGAGAAAAGUGGUUCCCUCAGGAAGUGGUUGCUGUGGUGGGAGAAGAGCCAGACGGUGAGGGAGGAAGCCAGGGGGCUGCGAGGGGAUGGGGCAGCAGGAAUUUGCCACUGGGAGGGAAAGGAUAGUUUGCCAUCUCUUCUAUUAACUACAGAUUAACUUACAGUGGCAGCAUCUGCUCUGCUCAGUCACCCUGCAGGGGCUGGAGGCUGCGGCAUAAAGAAAGGCAUACGCUGUAGAUGAUGUAACGUGUGCGUGGUCCAGGGCAGGUGCUGUCGUGGUUCAGAUGUAGCCUCUUCUGUAGGAAUCCCGGGGAGAGUCCCGACUGCACCCCAUGUGCAACUGACUUAACCCUCAGUGCCUGUCUGUCUCCAUCCGAAUCAAGGAGAUGAUGGUGCCCUCCUCACAGAGGAGUGGGGAGGUGAGAGGAGUCAAUCUAUGUAAAGCCUACACAGCACCCGCACACGGCAAGUCCAAUAUAUGCUAGUCAUUAUCACCAUAAUUCAAGCAAAUUAUGUGUCUAUUAGGAGAGGCAUCAAGAGUCGGGAUCUCUGAGGUCUGGGGGAAAGAAGGUGGCACAUCCUGGGCAUGCCUUGAAAACAAAGAACAAUGAAACCUAAUUGAUUCAGACUGGUUGGAGCACACAUCUCCUGCUUUUGCCUGGAAAGAAUUGUUCUCUCUUUCUCUGAUAAAACUGCCCAGCUUCCCUUUGGUCCCUCCCCAUCCCUGGGGCUCUGGGCUGUUCCCUUCUCAUCGCCUGAGAGAAAGGCUGCCCUGGGUGUGGAGAGCGAGUCAGAGCUCUGAGGAGACGACUUGAACCUCUGCCUCCUGCUGUGGAGGGACGACUUGAACCUCUGCCUCCCGCUGUGGAGGGACGACUUGAACCUCUGCCUCCCGCUGUGGAGGGACGACUUGAACCUCUGCCUCCUGCUGUCGAGGGACGACUUGAACCUCUGCAGCCCUACAUGCCUGAAACUAGACACCCCAGACGCCCCGGACUUGGGACUUAACAGUUCUCUUUGUGCUUAACCUGUUCGAACUUGCUUCUCAUCUUUGCAACUAAAAGAGUCUUAAAAAUAAUAAAAAUAAUAGUCACUGUAAAUAAUAAUUGUAAAGGAUAAUAACAGUCAUAAAUGCCAUUUGAGUAUAUCCCUAACUUCUGGAUGUACCCCAAUUACAUAUUUUAUUUCUUACAGAAUGUUUUUGUCUGCUCACUGAUUACAGAACAAUAAUAAUAAUUAUUCCAUUCAUGUCUGAUCUCUCUGCCAGCCUGACAACAAUUAUUAGGUUAAGUAAUUUGUCCAAGGAAUAAGGAGCAGAGGUGGGAUCCACACU